CUCACUUCUUAGCCUUUUUAGGUAAGAUCAAGUGUGGUAUCAGUUUAAUAUCUGAUAGGUCCUCUAUCCAAGGACAUUAUAGUAAAUGGAUUUUUGGAGCAGGGAGAUGGAAUCGGAGCUUGCUCCGUCCACUGUAUGCAUUGAACUGGUAUUGCAGUACUUCCAGGAAUGGUGCACCCCUU
Molecule: small nuclear RNA, 182 nt
Organism: Aotus nancymaae (Ma's night monkey)
Lineage: Eukaryota; Metazoa; Chordata; Mammalia; Primates; Aotidae
Gene: U2
Rfam family: U2 spliceosomal RNA
About the family: U2 is a small nuclear RNA (snRNA) component of the spliceosome (involved in pre-mRNA splicing). Complementary binding between U2 snRNA (in an area lying towards the 5' end but 3' to hairpin I) and the branchpoint sequence (BPS) of the intron results the bulging out of an unpaired adenosine, on the BPS, which initiates a nucleophilic attack at the intronic 5' splice site, thus starting the first of two transesterification reactions that mediate splicing.
Source: Ensembl